This 201-nucleotide long non-coding RNA is filed under the name Phoenix dactylifera (date palm). Its description in RNAcentral is "long non-coding RNA (PDAC_LNC006969)". The record is from RNAcentral. Lineage: Eukaryota; Viridiplantae; Streptophyta; Magnoliopsida; Arecales; Arecaceae.
CACUCUACUGCCUUGCAGCAGGUCAGGGCGGCAGUUAUGGGGGUUGUACCCACGACCGGCGAUGUGGAGGAGGAGCGAGGCAUCAUGGGCGUCGAGCCUAUGGAUGUUCCCGCGACUCUGGGAGAGGAGGGGUCUGAGGCCGACUAUGUGGACUGUGACCCAUGAUGAUUCUCGCUUGGAAUUGUAGGGGGGCGGCCAAGC